CCUACGGGAGGCAGCAGUGGGGGAUAUUGCACAAUGGGGGAAACCCUGAUGCAGCGAUGCCGCGUGAGAGAAGAAGCGUCUCGGCGUGUAAAGCUCUGUCAGCAGGGAAGAAAAUGACGGUACACGAAGAAGAAGCCCCGGAUAACUAGGCCCCAGCAGCCGCGGUAAUACGCAGGGGGCAAGCGUUAUCCGGAUUUAUUGGGUGUAAAGGGGGCGUAGACGGUGAAGCAAGCCAGGAGUGAAAGCUCGGGGCGCAACCCCGGAACUGCCCUUGGAACUGCGUGGCUGGAGUGCAGGAGGGGCAGGCGGAAUUCCUGGUGUAGCGGUGAAAUGCGUAGAUAUCAGGAGGAACACCGGUGGCGAAGGCGGCCUGCUGGACUGCAACUGACGUUGAGGCCCGAAAGCGUGGGGAGCAAACAGGAUUAGAUACCCUGGUAGUC
RNAcentral lists this ribosomal RNA (440 nucleotides) under uncultured bacterium. RNAcentral's name for it is "partial 16S ribosomal RNA". It matches the Rfam family "Bacterial small subunit ribosomal RNA", at positions 338 to 795 of the family's 1533-position model. The record is from RNAcentral.